Molecule: non-coding RNA, 79 nt
Filed under: Deltaproteobacteria bacterium
Lineage: Bacteria; Pseudomonadati; Myxococcota; Myxococcia
Description: c-di-GMP sequence
Rfam family: c-di-GMP-I-GGC riboswitch aptamer
Source: RNAcentral
UCCGAAAAAGGUAAACCCGUCGUAAGGCGGGGACACAAAGCCGACGGAUUCUGCAAGCAGGAUGGCCGGGCUACCGGGA